GGGGAUAGAGAUCAAUGGUAGAGCGCAUGCUUUGCUUGUAUGAAGUCCUGGGUUCAAUCCCCAGCAUCUCCA
Molecule: transfer RNA, 72 nt
Organism: Gasterosteus aculeatus (three-spined stickleback)
Lineage: Eukaryota; Metazoa; Chordata; Actinopteri; Perciformes; Gasterosteidae
Rfam family: tRNA
About the family: Transfer RNA (tRNA) molecules are approximately 80 nucleotides in length. Their secondary structure includes four short double-helical elements and three loops (D, anti-codon, and T loops).
Source: Rfam